Molecule: ribosomal RNA, 207 nt
Filed under: uncultured bacterium
Lineage: Bacteria
Description: partial 16S ribosomal RNA
Rfam family: Bacterial small subunit ribosomal RNA
Source: RNAcentral
UCCGUAGGCGGGCUGAUAAGUCAGUGGUGAAAGCCGACAGCUUAACUGUCGAACUGCCAUUGAUACUGUCAGUCUUGAGUAUAUUUGAGGUAGCUGGAAUAAGUAGUGUAGCGGUGAAAUGCAUAGAUAUUACUUAGAACACCAAUUGCGAAGGCAGGUUACCAAGAUAUAACUGACGCUGAUGGACGAAAGCGUGGGGAGCGAACA